ACGGACACAUCACGUUGAUAUACCGGAUCCUGUACGAUCAUAAAAGUUAAGCAACAUUAAGCCUAGUCAUUACCUAGAUGGGUGACCGCUUGGGAAUACCAGGUGCUGUAAG
This is a non-coding RNA of Acanthosepion pharaonis, 112 nucleotides long. Lineage: Eukaryota; Metazoa; Mollusca; Cephalopoda; Sepiida; Sepiidae. The record is from the annotation of a GenBank genome assembly.